GUGGUUGCUAGGAGCUGUGGGGGAGGGGGAAUUGAGGAGUUAGUGUUUAAUGGAGAGAGCUUCCAUUUUGCAAAGUGAAAAUGUUCUAGAGUUGACUGUGAUUGAUGGCUAUGCAGCUGAGCAGGUGUGCUCAAGGGCCACUUAAACAUGGGCAGGAUGCUAAACUUUCUCCUGUGCAUUUUCACACACACACACACACACACACACACACACACACACACACACACACCACACACACUUCCAGGGCUAAGUUCAGCUGAUAAAACGCUUGCCUGCCUCUGUGGUACUUUGAGACUGUAUCCUCUGAACCCCCUACCCACCCCCCCCCAACAUUGCCUCUUGCUUUUUUGGGUUCCUUUCUUGGCUAAGGUGUGAGCAAGUACCCCUAUCUCCCGUCUCCCCUCCACAUUUUUGGUUCCAACCAAUCCCCUUCUAAACUAGUUGUAAAGCCCUCCCCAUCCGCCCCACCUUCUGGGCACACUGCUGCUUUGGGAAGUUCUGACUGGUCUUAGAGCCCUCUGUUAACAGAGUACAUUUCCACUGUGGGUUUGGCCUCAUCAAGAGGGAAACAGUCUCUCCCUUCUGGCUCCUGCUGGUCUCUGACUGUUGGUCAGUUUGUUUUGAGGCAGGGAGGAGAGUGGGCAUAGCAGAGACGUCUGACACAAAGGCGCCCCUCUGUUCCCCUAGCACUGUUGGAUGCUUGGUGGGUGGUUCUUGGCCACAGCCAUUCCUCCUCCUUCCUCACUGCCAGCUGGACCUCUGUCCCCUCUUAUCCAGCAGUGCCAGCAACUACCGUGAAAGGACAGUUCUUCACUGAGAGCCAAGUGGAGCCUUCACCCCACCCAUUCUCAGAGAACCUUCUUAGUCUAGGGCAUAUCUGUAGUGCCAAGGGAUUGUCUCUGUGAUUUGGGGUGAAUUUUAACGUGAAUUGACAUAGGAGACCAGUCACAGAGCCUGGCUUUCUUUGUGGCUUCUGUUCUCUACCUGAGAUCUCUUCCUGGAAACCCAGGCCUUAGUGUUGGGCUAAGACCUACCGUGUCAGGUCCUCUACUCAGGAGCCCUGAGAAGCUUCUCUAAUCUUCCCAGGCAAUCACUGACAGAAGAAAGAUUUGGCAUCACUCCAGUCAGUUACUGGGACACAGAGACCCUGACUUAUCAGCUUCUUUACUUUUUAAAACCAACUGGACUGCCCCACCCCCACCCCACCCCCCUCAGGACUCAUUUCUGAGGGUGAGGAUUUAGCCCAGCUUGCCUGACGUGCAUGAAACCCUGAAUUCAGUCUUCAGGUCCAUGUAAACUGGCCUGAUAGCAUGUAUCUCUAACCUCAGUAAGGGCGAGAUGGAGCAAGUCAGUGAGAAGCUCAAAGUUAUCCUUGGCUACACAGUGAGUGCAAGGCCAGCUAGGGAUGGAUGGGACCUUGAAAAAAAAAAAGAAAAGAAAGAAAGAAAAGGCCCAGUAGGGAAUUUCUCUGCAAUUCAGAUUUUAAACCCUCUCAAAGACCCGCACAGCCUUUCUCCUCCGCAUCCAAUAGCAGCUGUGUAAUUUUCUGGGACUUUCCCAAAUGUUCCUACUGAGUCUCAAAGAGGGUUAGAAAGUUAAGGAGAGGCUUUUCCCAGACACACACCCCUGAGGUUGGCCCGGGUGUGGCCGGAGUUAAGUAGAUUCUUGGCAGCACAUGUGUGAUGUUGGCGUGUGGGUCUCCCUGUACCUGGAUUACAGUGAUGUCACACACAGUCCUUCCUGUGUUUGUAUGUUCAGAGGGGUCAGAGUACAUCCCUGCCCUGUCCCUCAUGCAAGUUUCAUUCCCAUCUCCUUGCAGGAGUGCUGGAAUUGCGGAGAGAAGCAACUGCAUCUGACUUUAAAAACAAAACAACAGACAAAAACCAACCAAACAAAACCAUGAGAGCAGGCUGAGCAGUCACAAAGAGCAAGCCAGUAAGCAGCACUCCUCUAUGACCCCUAGACCUGUCCCUGUCUCCAGUCUGGCACUGAUGUCCCUGGAUGAUGGACUGCAAGCUUCUCCUCCUGGCUGCCUUCGGAUCAAGAUGUAGAACUGCCCUCCAACACCAUGUCUGCCUGGAUCCUGCCAUGCUUCGCACUGUAAUGACAAUGGACUGGACCUCUGAAACUGUAAGCCAGCCCCAACUAAAUGUUGUCCUUUAUAAGACUUGCUUUGGUCAUGGUGUCUGUUCACAGCACUGAAACCCUGACUAAGACACUAGGUAUGAAACCCUGUACUCACUGGGGCUUCGUGUCAACCCACAACUGCUGACAGCUUAUGGGAGGGGCUCAGUAAAGAAAUCACAGAAAUGGCUGGUCCGUGAUUAGAUGGGGAGUUUUUUUAUUGUGUGUAAGAAAGAGAAGACAUCCAGAGGCUAGAGUAGAGAGAAGGUGAGUCGGACUGGAGAUGGUCAACACUAGGGACGUGGGGGAUGCAGGGUUAUAAGGAGAGCGAUAUCUGGGGGAAGGCCUGGGAGUUUAGAGUAGGAGAAGAGGUUAGAAGGGCCAGGAAGCUAGUGUGGGACUUUGAAAUAUAUAACAGACACUUGUGAAUGGGGACUGUGGGAGCCUGGGGGCCAGUGUGGGCUUUGAUAUGCAACCCCAGGUAUAUGUCAAUGGUGAGGCUUUGUCUCUCUGCCAGAGGCAGAGGGAAAUGAUUCCUUUGGGAGGAACCUGUUUCACAAGUUCCUCAGACAUGCUGGCUUUUUAUCUAACUGCCAGAAAUCCUUCUGUAGUCCCCCUUGAGCUAAGCCAAGGCUGUUAUUUCUGGACAUACGCACUUCCUGAACCCUAACGACAGUCAUUAUUGGUUAAGAAUUAUGGAGGGAAGAGAAUACUGCACCCCACAGUUUCAUCACCCCCUUUUCCCUCCCUCCCUCCCUCCUUCCCUCUCUUCCUCCUCUUUCCUUUCUUUCUUUUUGAGAGGGUCUGACUGUAUGUAACACUGGCCAUCUUAGCAACUCAUCAUGUAGACCAGGUUGACCUCGAACUCACAAAGAUCUACUUGCCUCUGCCUCCCGAGUGCUGGGAUUAGAGGUGUGAGUCACGACUCUUAUUUCAGGGCAGUGGCACAUAUGAGGGUUCUCACAGUCACUACGGAGGCCAGAGAGCUAUCGGGAAUCAGUUGGCAUUGCUUCCUCUCAUCCUAUCCCUGUCCUGGUAAAGCAAAGAACCAGAGGUGGGCUGGAGAGAUGGCUCAGUGGUUAAGAGCACUGACUGCUCUUCCAGAGGUCCUGAGUUCAAUUCCCAGCAACCACACGGUGGCUCACAACCAUCUGUAAUGGGAUCAGGUGCCCUCUUCUGGUGUGCAUGAAAACAGCUACUGUGUGCUCACGUAAAAUAAAAUAAAUAAAUAAAUCUUAAUAAAAAAUAGAAUAGAACUGGAGAGUGGUAACAUGGAAUAGCCUUGCAGCUCAGGGAUUCAUAUGAAUGCUCACUGAAGCAUUAAUUGUUUAAAGUAACAAUGUGUCAACAAAUAGGUCUAGUUUUUAAACUUCUGUCAUAGAGAAAAGGUGCCCUGUGGCAUUAGCUAAUAAGUUACAAUGGAUGACAAGGGAAACUAUGGAGUCCUAGGAUCCAGGUUUCUCCUUCUUCCUUUUUGGAUAUUCAAUGUCUUUCCCACUUUUUCAGGCCCUUGGGCCAGUUCCUUUUGUCUCACUUCUCCUUCUCUGCCACAGAAAACAAGCUUGUAUCACCUUUAUUAGUUUUGUUGUUGUUCUUCUCAGCUCAUUAUACCUGAGGGGUUUAGCACAGUGAUGCACACUGUAAUCCCAGGCACUUAAGAGGCAAGUUCAAAGCCAGCUUGGUUUUACAAAAACCCUCCCCUUGCCAGCAAGAUGCCAGGAUGUGGAUCUUGCUUCUAAAAGCUCCUUUGCCCCACUACUCCGUGCUGCUACACUUACUUCCCAAGUACGCGAGUAUAAUCCCAGCAGGCUGGAAUACUUUCGAUUGGCUAUAGGCGGUGUCUGAGUGGUCAUGUGGUAUCCCUGUAACAUUUUACAGGCUCCGCUGAGGCCACUGGA
This is a non-coding RNA of Rattus norvegicus (Norway rat), 4022 nucleotides long. NCBI's taxonomy places the organism in Eukaryota, Metazoa, Chordata, Mammalia, Rodentia, Muridae. The record is from RefSeq and is a predicted model, not a curated record.